This 253-nucleotide ribosomal RNA is filed under the name uncultured bacterium. RNAcentral describes it as "partial 16S ribosomal RNA". It matches the Rfam family "Bacterial small subunit ribosomal RNA", at positions 524 to 776 of the family's 1533-position model. The record is from RNAcentral.
UACGUAGGGGGCGAGCGUUGUCCGGAUUUAUUGGGCGUAAAGAGCGUGUAGGCGGCCAGGUAGGUCUGCUGUGAAAACUCGAGGCUCAACCUCGAGACGUCGGCGGAAACCAUCUGGCUAGAGUCCGGAAGAGGAGAGUGGAAUUCCUGGUGUAGCGGUGAAAUGCGUAGAUAUCGGGAGGAACACCAGUGGCGAAGGCGACUACCUGGCCUGUUCUUGACGCUGAGGCGCGAAAGCUAGGGUAGCAAACGGG